Non-coding RNA from Fukomys damarensis (Damara mole-rat), 309 nucleotides. The record is from the annotation of a RefSeq genome assembly. Lineage: Eukaryota; Metazoa; Chordata; Mammalia; Rodentia; Bathyergidae.
AUGGAGCUUGUGCUGAGCUGGGUUUGCCUGGCUGCUCUUUUAAAAGGUGUGCAGUGUGAGGUGCAGCUGGUGGAGUCAGGAGGAGGCUUGGUGCAGCCUAAGGGGUCCCUGAAACUCUCCUGUGUGACCUCGGGAUUCACCUUCAGCAAUUACUAUAUGUACUGGUUCUGCCAGGCUCCAGGAAAGGGCCUAGAGUGGGUUGCUGUUAGUAGAAACAAGGCUAAUAGUUAUACAACAGAAUACGCUACAUCUGCGAAAGGCAGAUUCACCAUCUCCAGGGAUGACUCCACAAGCACACUGCAUCUGUAG